This is a long non-coding RNA of Clupea harengus (Atlantic herring), 538 nucleotides long. The record is from Ensembl. NCBI's taxonomy places the organism in Eukaryota, Metazoa, Chordata, Actinopteri, Clupeiformes, Clupeidae.
CUUAUACACUCCUGCGUGUGGAGUGCGACCAUUUGCGCAGUUGACACCUCAACACACUCCCGCUUGUGGCGCAUGCUGGCGCACCUUCGUAGCACGCGUCGCCUGCCAGCGUGAAGGUGUCAAGGCACAAUUUGGCGUUUCCUGUAUAAAUUGCACGUUGCCCCGGCUCGUGGACACAUGCACCGCAGACUCUGAGGACUAAACACGCACGUUCAACUCGCAAGAACUAUGGAACACUCUACCUGUCAGACUGGAACUAAGGAGAUUACAAGUAUGUCUCGUGCUGGAUAUAUCAGUGAAAACGCAGUGCAGGAGCGCGUCCUGUUUUGGAGACCAUGGACACCAGAGCAGUGUGGACAAAGGAUGGGCUCACUUUCGGCUUAUACCAACACCUCUGCUGAAUUACCCAAUGGCAUGAAAACCAACGGCAUGUCCCACCCUGUAAAGUUGUUCUGGCCGAAAUCGCGAUGCUUCGAUUAUCUGUACCAUGACGCAGAGGUGCUACUCCGGAACUACCCCGUCCAGGCGACCAUCUGCC